This 548-nucleotide ribosomal RNA is filed under the name Trichosporon asahii var. asahii. RNAcentral describes it as "eukaryotic LSU rRNA". The stretch from base 158 to 311 matches the Rfam family "5.8S ribosomal RNA". The record is from RNAcentral. Lineage: Eukaryota; Fungi; Basidiomycota; Tremellomycetes; Trichosporonales; Trichosporonaceae.
CUUCCGUAAGGGGAACCUGCGGAAGGAUCAUUAGUGAUUGCCUUUAUAGGCUUAUAACUAUAUCCACUUACACCUGUGAACUGUUCUACUACUUGACGCAAGUCGAGUAUUUUUACAAACAAUGUGUAAUGAACGUCGUUUUAUUAUAACAAAAUAAAACUUUCAACAACGGAUCUCUUGGCUCUCGCAUCGAUGAAGAACGCAGCGAAUUGCGAUAAGUAAUGUGAAUUGCAGAAUUCAGUGAAUCAUCGAAUCUUUGAACGCAGCUUGCGCUCUCUGGUAUUCCGGAGAGCAUGCCUGUUUCAGUGUCAUGAAAUCUCAACCACUAGGGUUUCCUAAUGGAUUGGAUUUGGGCGUCUGCGAUUUCUGAUCGCUCGCCUUAAAAGAGUUAGCAAGUUUGACAUUAAUGUCUGGUGUAAUAAGUUUCACUGGGUCCAUUGUGUUGAAGCGUGCUUCUAAUCGUCCGCAAGGACAAUUACUUUGACUCUGGCCUGAAAUCAGGUAGGACUACCCGCUGAACUUAAGCAUAUCAAUAAGCGGAGGAAGGA